Molecule: ribosomal RNA, 2929 nt
Filed under: Escherichia coli
Lineage: Bacteria; Pseudomonadati; Pseudomonadota; Gammaproteobacteria; Enterobacterales; Enterobacteriaceae
Description: 23S ribosomal RNA
Rfam family: Bacterial large subunit ribosomal RNA
Source: RNAcentral
GGGUUGUGAGGUUAAGCGACUAAGCGUACACGGUGGAUGCCCUGGCAGUCAGAGGCGAUGAAGGACGUGCUAAUCUGCGAUAAGCGUCGGUGAGGUGAUAUGAACCGUUAUAACCGGCGAUUUCCGAAUGGGGAAACCCAGUGUGAUUCGUCACACUAUCAUUAACUGAAUCCAUAGGUUAAUGAGGCGAACCGGGGGAACUGAAACAUCUAAGUACCCCGAGGAAAAGAAAUCAACCGAGAUUCCCCCAGUAGCGGCGAGCGAACGGGGAGGAGCCCAGAGCCUGAAUCAGUGUGUGUGUUAGUGGAAGCGUCUGGAAAGGCGCGCGAUACAGGGUGACAGCCCCGUACACAAAAAUGCACAUAUUGUGAGCUCGAUGAGUAGGGCGGGACACGUGGUAUCCUGUCUGAAUAUGGGGGGACCAUCCUCCAAGGCUAAAUACUCCUGACUGACCGAUAGUGAACCAGUACCGUGAGGGAAAGGCGAAAAGAACCCCGGCGAGGGGAGUGAAAAAGAACCUGAAACCGUGUACGUACAAGCAGUGGGAGCCUCUUAAUGGGGUGACUGCGUACCUUUUGUAUAAUGGGUCAGCGACUUAUAUUCUGUAGCAAGGUUAACCGAAUAGGGGAGCCGAAGGGAAACCGAGUCUUAACUGGGCGUUAAGUUGCAGGGUAUAGACCCGAAACCCGGUGAUUCAGCCAUGGGCAGGUUGAAGGUUGGGUAACACUAACUGGAGGACCGAACCGACUAAUGUUGAAAAAUUAGCGGAUGACUUGUGGCUGGGGGUGAAAGGCCAAUCAAACCGGGAGAUAGCUGGUUCUCCCCGAAAGCUAUUUAGGUAGCGCCUCGUGAAUUCAUCUCCGGGGGUAGAGCACUGUUUCGGCAAGGGGGUCAUCCCGACUUACCAACCCGAUGCAAACUGCGAAUACCGGAGAAUGUUAUCACGGGAGACACACGGCGGGUGCUAACGUCCGUCGUGAAGAGGGAAACAACCCAGACCGCCAGCUAAGGUCCCAAAGUCAUGGUUAAGUGGGAAACGAUGUGGGAAGGCCCAGACAGCCGGGGAUGUUGGCUUAGAAGCAGCCAUCAUUUAAAGAAAGCGUAAUAGCUCACUGGUCGAGUCGGCCUGCGCGGAAGAUGUAACGGGGCUAAACCAUGCACCGAAGCUGCGGCAGCGACACUAUGUGUUGUUGGGUAGGGGAGCGUUCUGUAAGCCUGUGAAGGUGGCCUGUGAGGGUUGCUGGAGGUAUCAGAAGUGCGAAUGCUGACAUAAGUAACGAUAAAGCGGGUGAAAAGCCCGCUCGCCGGAAGACCAAGGGUUCCUGUCCAACGUUAAUCGGGGCAGGGUGAGUCGACCCUAAGGCGAGGCCGAAAGGCGUAGUCGAUGGGAAACAGGUUAAUAUUCCUGUACUUGGUGUUACUGCGAAGGGGGGGACGGAGAAGGCUAUGUUGGCCGGGCGACGGUUGUCCCGGUUUAAGCGUGUAGGCUGGUUUUCCGAGGCAAAUCCGGAAAACCAAGGCUGAGGCGUGAUGACGAGGCACUACGGUGCUGAAGCGACAAAUGCCCUGCUUCCAGGAAAAGCCUCUAAGCAUCAGGUAACAUCAAAUCGUACCCCAAACCGACACAGGUGGUCAGGUAGAGAAUACCAAGGCGCUUGAGAGAACUCGGGUGAAGGAACUAGGCAAAAUGGUGCCGUAACUUCGGGAGAAGGCACGCUGAUAUGUAGGUGAAGCGACUUGCUCGUGGAGCUGAAAUCAGUCGAAGAUACCAGCUGGCUGCAACUGUUUAUUAAAAACACAGCACUGUGCAAACACGAAAGUGGACGUAUACGGUGUGACGCCUGCCCGGUGCCGGAAGGUUAAUUGAUGGGGUUAGCGGCAACGCGAAGCUCUUGAUCGAAGCCCCGGUAAACGGCGGCCGUAACUAUAACGGUCCUAAGGUAGCGAAAUUCCUUGUCGGGUAAGUUCCGACCUGCACGAAUGGCGUAAUGAUGGCCAGGCUGUCUCCACCCGAGACUCAGUGAAAUUGAACUCGCUGUGAAGAUGCAGUGUACCCGCGGCAAGACGGAAAGACCCCGUGAACCUUUACUAUAGCUUGACACUGAACAUUGAGCCUUGAUGUGUGUAGGAUAGGUGGGAGGCUUUGAAGUGUGGACGCCAGUCUGCAUGGAGCCGACCUUGAAAUACCACCCUUUAAUGUUUGAUGUUCUAACGUUGGCCCGUAAUCCGGGUUGCGGACAGUGUCUGGUGGGUAGUUUGACUGGGGCGGUCUCCUCCUAAAGAGUAACGGAGGAGCACGAAGGUUGGCUAAUCCUGGUCGGACAUCAGGAGGUUAGUGCAAUGGCAUAAGCCAGCUUGACUGCGAGCGUGACGGCGCGAGCAGGUGCGAAAGCAGGUCAUAGUGAUCCGGUGGUUCUGAAUGGAAGGGCCAUCGCUCAACGGAUAAAAGGUACUCCGGGGAUAACAGGCUGAUACCGCCCAAGAGUUCAUAUCGACGGCGGUGUUUGGCACCUCGAUGUCGGCUCAUCACAUCCGGGGCUGAAGUAGGUCCCAAGGGUAUGGCUGUUCGCCAUUUAAAGUGGUACGCGAGCUGGGUUUAGAACGUCGUGAGACAGUUCGGUCCCCUAUCUGCCGUGGGCGCUGGAGAACUGAGGGGGGCUGCUCCUAGUACGAGAGGACCGGAGUGGACGCAUCACUGGUGUUCGGGUUGUCAUGCCAAUGGCACUGCCCGGUAGCUAAAUGCGGAAGAGAUAAGUGCUGAAAGCAUCUAAGCACGAAACUUGCCCCGAGAUGAGUUCUCCCUGACUCCUUGAGGGUCCUGAAGGAACGUUGAAGACGACGACGUUGAUAGGCCGGGUGUGUAAGCGCAGCGAUGCGUUGAGCUAACCGGUACUAAUGAACCGUGAGGCUUAACCUUACAACGCCGAAG